CAGCCGCCGCGGUAAUACGUAGGGUGCGAGCGUUAAUCGGAAUUGCUGGGCGUAAAGCGUGCGCAGGCGGUUCGUUAAGACAGAUGUGAAAUCCCCGGGCUUAACCUGGGAACUGCAUUUGUGACUGGCGAGCUAGAGUAUGGCAGAGGGGGGUAGAAUUCCACGUGUAGCAGUGAAAUGCGUAGAGAUGUGGAGGAAUACCGAUGGCGAAGGCAGCCCCCUGGGCCAAUACUGACGCUCAUGCACGAAAGCGUGGGGAGCAAACAGGAUUAGAUACCCCGGUAGUCCCUGUCUCUUAUAA
RNAcentral lists this ribosomal RNA (301 nucleotides) under uncultured bacterium. RNAcentral's name for it is "partial 16S ribosomal RNA". It matches the Rfam family "Bacterial small subunit ribosomal RNA", at positions 509 to 809 of the family's 1533-position model. The record is from RNAcentral.